Molecule: ribosomal RNA, 1322 nt
Filed under: metagenome
Description: bacterial LSU rRNA
Rfam family: Bacterial large subunit ribosomal RNA
Source: RNAcentral
AGUGGAUGGGGAGCAACCUAGUUGUGCGUGUGUAAAGGUAGUGCCAAGAAAAGCGGUGAUCAUGAUGAAAAUCAAUUCCCGGUACCCGAAACCGACACAGGUGGGCAAGUAGAGAAUACUAAGGGGCGCGAGGUAACUCUCUCCAAGGAACUCGGCAAAAUGACCCCGUAACUUAGGGAGAAGGGGUGCCACCGAGAGGUGGUCGCAGUGAAGAGGCCCAGGCGACUGUUUAGCAAAAACAUAGGUCUCUGCAAACUCGAAAGAGGAGGUAUAGGGGCUGACGCCUGCCCAGUGCCGGAAGGUUAAAGAAGUUGGUCAGUCUUAGGAUAAAGCUAGCGACUGAAGCCCCGGUGAACGGCGGCCGUAACUAUAACGGUCCUAAGGUAGCGAAAUUCCUUGUCGGGUAAGUUCCGACCCGCACGAAAGGCGUAACGAUCUGGGCGCUGUCUCGGAGAGAGGCUCGGCGAAAUAGGAUUGUCUGUGAAGAUACGGACUACCUGCAUUUGGACAGAAAGACCCUAUGAAGCUUUACUAUAGCUUGGAAUUGUGUUCGGGCUUCCUGUGCGCAGGAUAGGUGGGAGGCGAAGAAGGUAUUCUUGUGGGGAUACUGGAGCCAACGGUGAGAUACCACUCUCAGGAGGCUAGAAUUCUAACUUAAUUAAGGACAGUUUCAGGUGGGUAGUUUGACUGGGGCGGUCGCCUCCAAAAAGGUAACGGAGGCGUACAAAGGUUCCCUCAGACUGGUUGGAAAUCAGUCGCAGAGUGCAAAGGCAGAAGGGAGCUUGACUGCGAGAAGUACAGUUCGAGCAGGGUGGAAACACGGUCUUAGUGAUCCGACGGUGCUGUGUGGAAGGGCCGUCGCUCAACGGAUAAAAGUUACUCUAAGGAUAACAGGCUGAUCUCCCCCAAGAGUUCACAUCGACGGGGAGGUUUGGCACCUCGAUGUCGGCUCAUCGCAACCUGGGGUAAGUACGUCCCAAGGGUUGGGCUGUUCGCCCAUUAAAGCGGUACGUGAGCUGGGUUCAGAACGUCGUGAGACAGUUCGGUCCAUAUCCGAUGUAGGCGUGAGAAUAUUGAGAGGAGCCUUCCUUAGUACGAGAGGACCGGGAAGGACGCACCGCUGGUGUACCUGUUAUGAUGCCAAUUGUAAACGCAGGGUAGCCAAGUGCGGAGAGGAUAACCGCUGAAAGCAUCUAAGUGGGAAGCCCACCUCAAGAUGAGUAUUCUGGUGUAAGGUCACGGGAAGACGACCCGUAAAUAGGCACGAGGUGGAAGUGCAGAGAUGUAUGAAGCCGAAGUGUACUAAUAGACCGUCGGCUUGA